CCGCCGCCCGUGACUCGGCGAGAAGUCCAUUGAACCUUAUCAUUUAGAGGAAGGAGAAGUCGUAACAAGGUUUCCGUAGGUGAACCUGCGGAAGGAUCAUUG
RNAcentral lists this ribosomal RNA (102 nucleotides) under Cuitlauzina pulchella. Its description in RNAcentral is "partial 18S ribosomal RNA". It matches the Rfam family "Eukaryotic small subunit ribosomal RNA", at positions 1730 to 1831 of the family's 1831-position model. Lineage: Eukaryota; Viridiplantae; Streptophyta; Magnoliopsida; Asparagales; Orchidaceae. The record is from RNAcentral.